AGUCUUAUGCCCAUGUCUGGAACUGGAGUGGGAUCGGCCACAUUGAAAGAACACAGCCUGAGGGCAGGGAAGCUAUUGAGCCCCAGAGAGAAGUUAAAGUACUUUUCAUGAAAGAUCAUUGUCUGUUAAGACCCCAUCGCAGAGAAGUUAAAGAGCUUCAAUCACCAUGCUUUCAGGGUCAAUUUGUCUCCGAAAAGGAACAGAUGGGGAAGAAUUAUUCCAUUCACAGUUGACUUGUCAGAAAUUCCAAGAUCUUGGACGGGCUGAAAGCAAUGAUGUUGCCAUUCAUCCUUUCACGUAUUCAUUAUGGUCUACAGCUGAGAAGGGCUAUUUGGGGUUUGCUUUGCCUGAUGGUAGCAGAAGAAAACCAAGAGGCCUCUCUACGAAAGCUUGCAGUAAGGAGAAAGUUCUGGAGACUGGGAAGAGCAACACAAAGAUAUUCAGUUGCUUGGUGAGAGCUGCUCUCUGCUUCCAAGGCGGCACCUUGUUGCUGCAUUCUCCAAUGGGAAGGAACGCUGGGUCCUCACAUGACAGAAGGUGGAAAGGCAGAGAUCUGGGAACCUGAUGUGGGAAGAAAUCUCAUCUGUGACCACGAUUUUGUCAGGAGUCACGGGAUUCUAUAGCUGCAGCAAACCUGGAGCAAACUGGUCCCCACCAAUCUGGGUGAGACAAACCAAUGAUGACUGAAAAUCACAAUAAAAUUGUAAUACUCGAGAUCUCAA
This 722-nucleotide long non-coding RNA is filed under the name Homo sapiens (human). RNAcentral describes it as "HSALNT0167866". Lineage: Eukaryota; Metazoa; Chordata; Mammalia; Primates; Hominidae. The record is from RNAcentral.